CCUACGGGAGGCAGCAGUGGGGAAUUUUGGACAAUGGGCGAAAGCCUGAUCCAGCAAUGCCGCGUGCAGGAAGAAGGCCUUCGGGUUGUAAACUGCUUUUGUACGGAACGAAACGGUCUGCUUUAAUACAGUGGGCUAAUGACGGUACCGUAAGAAUAAGCACCGGCUAACUACGUGCCAGCAGCCGCGGUAAUACGUAGGGUGCGAGCGUUAAUCGGAAUUACUGGGCGUAAAGCGUGCGCAGGCGGUUAUAUAAGACAGUUGUGAAAUCCCCGGGCUCAACCUGGGAAUUGCAUCUGUGGCUGUAUAGCUAGAGUACGGUAGAGGGGGAUGGAAUUCCGCGUGUAGCAGUGAAAUGCGUAGAUAUGCGGAGGAACACCGAUGGCGAAGGCAAUCCCCUGGACCUGUACUGACGCUCAUGCACGAAAGCGUGGGGAGCAAACAGGAUUAGAUACCCUGGUAGUCCACGCCCUAAACGAUGUCAACUGUNUGGUGNNUAUAUNNUACGAGNACGNGUGAGUGACGCG
RNAcentral lists this ribosomal RNA (527 nucleotides) under uncultured bacterium. RNAcentral describes it as "bacterial SSU rRNA". It matches the Rfam family "Bacterial small subunit ribosomal RNA", at positions 338 to 859 of the family's 1533-position model. The record is from RNAcentral.